GGCUGGGUGGCUUAAUGGUAGAGUGCUUGCCUAGCAUGCAUGAAGUUCUAGGUUCUAUUCCUCACUGCCA
This 70-nucleotide transfer RNA is filed under the name Dipodomys ordii (Ord's kangaroo rat). It matches the Rfam family "tRNA". From Rfam's summary of the family: Transfer RNA (tRNA) molecules are approximately 80 nucleotides in length. The record is from Rfam by way of RNAcentral. Lineage: Eukaryota; Metazoa; Chordata; Mammalia; Rodentia; Heteromyidae.